GACGAACGCUGGCGGCGUGCUUAACACAUGCAAGUCGAACGGUGAACUCCGCUUGCUGGGGGAUCAGUGGCGAACGGGUGAGUAACACGUGGGCAACCUGCCCUCAGCUCUGGGAUAACUCCAAGAAAUUGGGGCUAAUACCGGAUAUGACCGCUGACCGCAUGGGCUGGUGGUGGAAAGAUUUAUCGGCUGGGGAUGGGCCCGCGGCCUAUCAGCUUGUUGGUGGGGUAGUGGCCUACCAAGGCGACGACGGGUAGCCGGCCUGAGAGGGUGACCGGCCACACUGGGACUGAGACACGGCCCAGACUCCUACGGGAGGCAGCAGUGGGGAAUAUUGCGCAAUGGGCGAAAGCCUGACGCAGCGACGCCGCGUGGGGGAUGAUGGCCUUCGGGUUGUAAACCUCUUUCAGCAGGGACGAAGCGAAAGUGACGGUACCUGAAGAAGAAGCACCGGCCAACUACGUG
RNAcentral lists this ribosomal RNA (465 nucleotides) under uncultured bacterium. RNAcentral's name for it is "partial 16S ribosomal RNA". It matches the Rfam family "Bacterial small subunit ribosomal RNA", at positions 28 to 507 of the family's 1533-position model. The record is from RNAcentral.